GUCACCUAUCCUUUCACCUUAAUUCAUGCUUUUGUCAAUUCUGUAAUUUAUUUAAGUUUAAUUUACUUCUUGUCAAAAAAACCAAACCCCCCCCCCCCCAUUAUUAAAUUAUAUUAUUUAGUUAGUGUUCAUUGUUGUUAGUCUUUUAAUUCAAUUUCCGUCCAUUUCAGUUCCUAGUGUCUAAAUUGAUUGUUUCCAUUACCAUUUGAGUCAUUCUAAGUGUGUUUCGAGUUAUUAGAGUUUUUAGCCUAGUUUUGUGUCCUUGAGUCUUAUUUAAUAUUUUUAAAUUAAUUUAGAAUAGAUUAGCAAUCCCUCCUAAUCCCCGGCCUAGAACGAUACCCUACUUACAUCUAUACUACAAUUGUCAAAAAGAGGGUUUAAUUUGUGUGUCAAGUAAUUCUCGCAUCACAUCUUUACCAAGAUCAAUAGUGAAGGAGAUGUCCUGUCUAAAUACAAUGAGCUAAGUACAACGAAGAGCAAAGUUCAACUUAGAUAUGGAAUUUCAGAUUCCAUAACCUCUUCAAGGGUCUCAUUUGGAAAUAACGUAUGGACAAUCAUAGGUAUACUCAAGGGUAACACAUUCGGGGUGUAGUUCAACUGGUAGACCAAAAUAUCAUCAGAACAAUGCUUCAACUUCAAGUCAAGGCAUAAACGAGUUUUCCUAAGAUCCUUCAUCUCAAAUUCCAUCUUCAGGUGCGAGGUAGUUUUCUCAAGCUCUUACGGAGUCUUAGUGAGAUUCGUGUCAAGGACAUAAUUUGUAACUCUAGCAAUUUGGAAUAAGACUUCAUAGUUUAACACACAAGGGCAUAAUUCAUCCCUGACUGGUCAAAUAAUCACUUAGACGGGUAUACCACAUCCGUCGGAUUUUUCAAUCCAUAAGUGAACACCUCAAAACGAGUUAAAAGGGUGUUCCGUGGUUUUGGAACUAUUUGAAACAGUCCAUGUAAUUCUUCGAGAACUUACAUGUAAAUCUUCGUAUCUAUGUCCCCAUGGAUAAAACACUAACCACAUUUCAUAAUGCUACUAUCAAUCACAUGACGUUUGAGAAAAACCUUGCGAAGUAAGGCGUGCAUCAUAUUGCACUAUUUCAUUCAUCUCAUAACACUUCCUUUCCCACUUGUAACGUAACAGGGUUACCUUGAGCAGUGUAGGAAUGACAAGUCCAAUACACACUUUGGUAAGGAAUUUGACCUGGAUUGUAACUUUAGUUGUCCAAUCAGUUCUACGUUGUCAUUUAAUCAACGGAACACGAUUCGAUAUCAUCGCUUUUCAUUUAUGUUGGUAGCUACCAUAUAAGUGAAAACAUCAUCAAUGAUAAUCCCAUUUCAAUUCCAUUUAGCUCAUCCAAACUAAUAUAAUGGACCAAGAACUUUAAGUCUCGGGAGAAAUCCGGAUUAAUCUCAUGAUAAGGAAAUGAUUUGAAAUAACGAUCAAGUUUAGAUUCAUUAUUGUGUCGUAUCUUCCUCUUAUAGGGAAGUGAAUCCUACGAAUUGAAUGAUAUGUCAUGCUCCAGGCCAAGACAGAUUGAUUGGUUAUCCGUCGGUAUACCAGACCGUCCAUCAGGGGUGUCUAAACCGUCCAACAUGGGCGGCACACCCUCCAGGGAUGUUGACUCGACGUCCGUUAAGUACGUCUAUCCUUAUAGGCAUGUGCAGCUAGUAUAUGAUCUCGUCACUGUAGCUAGAUCAGAGGAAUGCGUCUGGAGCAACAUUCUGAAAACUAGAAUUCUUCGCACUUGUUUAUCACACUUUUGUGGUAUGGGGAUCGAGAUGAGAAAUAGUGGGCAAUGUCCAUGCAAAUUCGCGCCGUUCUACAGGAACGUUGACAUUCUUAUCUCCCCCUAGCGGUAGGAAAACUGUCUCAUUAAAGUGACAACACGCAAAUGAGCAGUAAAAAGAUCGCAUGCAAGGGCUCUAAGAGAGCGAAGAUGAAGGAGAAUCAUGAUCGACAAAAGUUACACCUUUUUUGAUGACCCAUGGUGGUACGUUGUGGCGGCACAACUUGGCACGUAGAAUGCACACCAAAUGCAUAAAUACAAAAAUCAUCAGGUUCGUACCCAGUAACCAACUAUAACAUCGUAUAGGUUGGGUGGCAAUAGGCCUCAAGGCAGACCAACAUAACUACGUACAAGGAUUGCAUAGCCCUAGGCAAAAACCGAAAACUUGGUACGUUUACCAAAAUUCGGGCGAUCAUUUAAAUUGCGCUUUAUGAUUACUAGGUGAGGCUCUUUAGGGUGAACAUGGGAAUUCAAUGUUCAAUUAUAAACCCAAAAUGAAGGGAAAAUUAUGAGUUUAGCAUAUGGGAUUUCUAAAUGACUAGCAUGCAUAUACAAUUCAAAAUUUAUAUACAUGAGCAACGGAAGCAAUUUAUCAAAUAAUAUCAAAGCUAUAGUCAUGCAAAUCCCCUUCAAGGUUCAUAGGUUUAUAUAUAAUGCAUCAAAACAUUUUAGUAAAGAACAAAGUGAAAGUUUAGUCUUAUACCUCUUGAUCUAGACUUGAGACCAAGGAUGGACCACCUCCAAGCCCUUUGUUCCUUGAAGUCCUUGAGCCUAGCCUCCCUCCUUGCCUCCUCCACUUUGUUAGUAAGAGUGCUCCAAGGUUCUCCUUUAGUCUCCAAAGGAGAAUACCUCUAAAUAUCCACACCCACUAGUGUAGUGAGAUGGAUGGAGGAAUAACCAAAAGGGUGAAAGAUUGUUAGCUAAAUCACCCUCUAGGUGGCCGGCCUUUGUGGUUUUAGAGAGAUGUUUUCUUUUGCCUCUUUGUUGUUUUAAAACACACAAAACCCUAAGGAUUAAAACUCUAUAAAGUUCCUUAUAUAAACAAAAAGAAACCUAGUCAACAACUUGACUAAAUAUCUCUCCCUCUCCACUUGCAAGGGCCGGCCCCUUUGUGUUGGUUUGGGCUUUGGGCUUUUAUUUAUUUCUAGUC
Molecule: long non-coding RNA, 2927 nt
Filed under: Malus domestica (apple)
Lineage: Eukaryota; Viridiplantae; Streptophyta; Magnoliopsida; Rosales; Rosaceae
Description: long non-coding RNA (MDOM_LNC001832)
Source: RNAcentral